UCAAAGGAAUUGACGGGGAGCACCACAACGGGUGGAGCUUGCGGUUUAAUUGGAUUCAACGCCGGAAAUCUUACCGGGACCGACAGCAAUAUGAAGGCCAGGCUGAAGACUUUGCCGGAUUAGCUGAGAGGUGGUGCAUGGCCGUCGUCAGUUCGUACUGUGAAGCAUCCUGUUAAGUCAGGCAACGAGCGAGACCCACGCCCACAGUUGCCAGCGUACUCUCCGGAGUGACGGGUACACUGUGGGACCGCCGCUGCUAAAGCGGAGGAAGGAAUGGGCAACGGUAGGUCAGUAUGCCCCGAAUAUCCCGGGCUACACGCGAGCUACAAUGGUUGGUACAAUGGGUAUCUACCCCGAAAGGGGACGGGAAUCUCCUAAAACCAAUCUUAGUUCGGAUUGAGGGCUGCAACUCGCCCUCAUGAAGCUGGAAUCCGUAGUAAUCGCGUUUCAACAGAACGCGGUGAAUACGUCCCUGCUCCUU
Molecule: ribosomal RNA, 481 nt
Filed under: uncultured Methanosaeta sp.
Lineage: Archaea; Methanobacteriati; Methanobacteriota; Methanomicrobia; Methanotrichales; Methanotrichaceae
Description: bacterial SSU rRNA
Rfam family: Archaeal small subunit ribosomal RNA
Source: RNAcentral